Molecule: ribosomal RNA, 253 nt
Filed under: uncultured bacterium
Lineage: Bacteria
Description: partial 16S ribosomal RNA
Rfam family: Bacterial small subunit ribosomal RNA
Source: RNAcentral
UACGUAGGGGGCGAGCGUUAUCCGGAUUUACUGGGCGUAAAGCGCGUUAAGGCGGUUGGCAAAGUUGGUUGUGAAAUCUCAGGGCUCAACCCUGAAAUUGCGACCAAUACUGGUCGACUAGAGUGCAAGAGAGGAAGGUGGAAUUCCCGGUGUAGUAGUGAAAUGCGUAGAUAUCGGGAGGAACACCAGUGGCGAAGGCGGCCUUCUGGCUUGUAACUGACGCUGUAGCGCGAAAGCGUGGGGAGCGAACAGG